GGGGAAUUGGCUCAGUUGGUAGAGCAUCUGCUUUGCAAGCAGAGGGCCAUCGGUUCGAGUCCGAUAUUCUCCA
Molecule: transfer RNA, 73 nt
Filed under: Cytophagales bacterium
Lineage: Bacteria; Pseudomonadati; Bacteroidota; Cytophagia; Cytophagales
Description: tRNA-Ala
Rfam family: tRNA
About the family: Transfer RNA (tRNA) molecules are approximately 80 nucleotides in length. Their secondary structure includes four short double-helical elements and three loops (D, anti-codon, and T loops).
Source: RNAcentral